AUUACCGCGGCUGCUGGCACGUAGUUAGCCGGUGCUUCUUCUGCGGGUACCGUCAUCCGACCGGACUAUUCGCCCGGCCGAUUUCUUCCCCACCGAAAGGGCUUUACAACCCGAAGGCCUUCUUCACCCACGCGGCAUUGCUGGAUCAGGCUUGCGCCCAUUGUCCAAGAUUCCCCACUGCUGCCUCCCGUAGG
This 194-nucleotide ribosomal RNA is filed under the name uncultured bacterium. RNAcentral describes it as "partial 16S ribosomal RNA". The record is from RNAcentral.